This 395-nucleotide ribosomal RNA is filed under the name uncultured eukaryote. Its description in RNAcentral is "SSU rRNA". It matches the Rfam family "Eukaryotic small subunit ribosomal RNA", at positions 587 to 972 of the family's 1831-position model. The record is from RNAcentral.
AGCUCCGCUAGCGUAUAUUAAAAUUGUUGCAGUUAAAAAGCUCGUAGUUGGAUUUUUAACGGAUACGCCUCAUCAUGAGACAGCUUCUUUUGAUCAGAGUGCGGUAUUUGUUUUUGGUAGCUUGAGAACUGGGAUUUGGCAUUUUAUUAUGUUGGGACUUGACGAACAGGGCAGAUUACUUUGAAGAAAGGAGAGCGUUUAAGGCAAGGUCGACACGUGUAUCUAGUAGCAUGGAAUAAUAAGAUAGGACGUCGUUCUAUUUUUCGUUGGUUUAUAGAAUUCAUGUAAUGAUUGAUAGGGAUAGUUGGGGGUGCUAGUAUUCAAUGGCCAGAGGUGAAAUUCUUGGAUUCAUUGAAGACUGACUUCCGCGAAAGCAUUCACCAAGGAUAUCUUCU